ACGUCCGUACUCGCGAAUGCAACAGANGNUUAAUUUGAUCAUGGCUCAGAUCCCACGGUGGUAGCAGGCCUAACACAUGCAAGUCGAGCGGAUGACGGGAGCUUGCUCCUUGAUUCAGCGGCGGACGGGUGAGUAAUGCCUAGGAAUCUGCCUGGUAGUGGGGGACAACGUUUCGAAAGGAACGCUAAUACCGCAUACGUCCUACGGGAGAAAGCAGGGGACCUUCGGGCCUUGCGCUAUCAGAUGAGCCUAGGUCGGAUUAGCUAGUUGGUGAGGUAAUGGCUCACCAAGGCGACGAUCCGUAACUGGUCUGUGAGGAUGAUCAGUCACACUGGAACUGAGACACGGUCCAGACUCCUACGGGAGGCAGCAGUGGGGAAUAUUGGACAAUGGGCGAAAGCCUGAUCCAGCCAUGCCGCGUGUGUGAAGAAGGUCUUCGGAUUGUAAAGCACUUUAAGUUGGGAGGAAGGGCAGUAAGUUAAUACCUUGCUGUUUUAGACAGUUACCGACAGAAUAAGCACCGGCUAACUCUGUGCCAGCAGCCGCGGUAAUACAGAGGGUGCAAGCGUUAAUCGGAAUUACUGGGCGUAAGCGCGCGUAAGUGGGUUGUAAGUUGGAUGUUGAAAGCCCGGGGUCCAC
This 639-nucleotide ribosomal RNA is filed under the name uncultured bacterium. RNAcentral describes it as "bacterial SSU rRNA". It matches the Rfam family "Bacterial small subunit ribosomal RNA", at positions 1 to 613 of the family's 1533-position model. The record is from RNAcentral.